CGGCGUGCUUUAUACAUGCAAGUCGAAGGAUGAAGUUCCUUCGGGAAUGGAUUAGUGGCGAACGGGUGAGGAACACGUGAGAAACCUGCCUUUCAUUCUGGGAUAACACCGGGAAACCGGUGCUAAUACCGGAUACUCCGUCUUGGCGGCAUCGCCGAGCCGGGAAAAAAUUUUGAUGAAAGAUGGUCUCGCGGCCUAUCAGCUAGUUGGUGAGGUAAAGGCUCACCAAGGCGACGACGGGUAGCCGGCCUGAGAGGGCGACCGGCCACACUGGGACUGAGACACGGCCCAUACUCCUACGGGAGGCAGCAGUAGGGAAUAUUGGGCAAUGGGCGCAAGCCUGACCCAGCGACGCCGCGUGAGGGAUGAAGGUCUUCGGAUUGUAAACCUCUUUCAGUAGGGAAGAAGCGAAAGUGACGGUACCUAAAGAAGAAGCACCGGCUAACUAUGUGCCAGCAGCCGCGGUAAUACAUAGGGUGCAAGCGUUGUCCGGAAUUAUUGGGCGUAAAGAGCUCGUAGGUUGUUUGUCGCGUCGAUUGUGAAAAUCUGAGGCUCAACCUCAGACCUGCAGUCGAUACGGGCAGACUAGAGUGUGGUAGGGGAGACUGGAAUUCCUGGUGUAGCGGUGGAAUGCGCAGAUAUCAGGAGGAACACCCAUGGGGAAGGCAGGUCUUUGGGCCAUAACUGACACUGAGGAGCGAAAGUGCGGGGAGCGAACAGGAUUAGAUACCCUGGUAGUCCGCACCGUAAACGGUGGGCACUAGUUGUGGGAACCUUCCACGGUUUCCGCGACGCAGCAAACGCAUUAAGUGCCCCGCCUGGGGAGUACGAUCGCAAGAUUAAAAAUCAAAGGAAUU
Molecule: ribosomal RNA, 857 nt
Filed under: uncultured Micrococcineae bacterium
Lineage: Bacteria; Bacillati; Actinomycetota; Actinomycetes; Micrococcales
Description: bacterial SSU rRNA
Rfam family: Bacterial small subunit ribosomal RNA
Source: RNAcentral